UUGCCGCAGGAGGGUCGCCGACACGAGUUGCUGGCUUGCUGCCUGGCUUAACGGUGACGCGGGCAGGGCACCAUGGUGCUAUCUGACCCCCUGCCUUGCUUCUGCCGGAUGCGGGCUCUCUCCACUCCUCAUGCAUCCGCCGUGUUGGUCCAAGCAGAGGACGAAGUCCAGCCCUUGCCAACAAGCUCAUAAUGAUUUCAGAAGUACGGUCUAAUGGAAGGGUGGAGGAAGAUUUUUGAAAUGGCAAAGUCGUCAGCAAGGACAUGAGACAAGAGGUCUGACCGAACUACGUCAGUCAACUACGUCAGGUGCACCUUGACCUUCUGCCUGAGCAGAUGAACUAGCCACUGCCCUGGAUGUUGUGUCGUCCUCCAGUCCCACUCUGCUGCUUCUGACCAAGCACCUCAAACCAAGACUGAUUGCUUUAUUAUUGUGAUCGGUCAAUACAAUAUUGGUAUAUAUGUCUUGUAUAGUGCCCUUUUGCAUUAGUUUUCUCAUAUUUGCGGAGUGUGCAAAUGAGUUUCUUCUUACCUUUACUCAUUAAUAAUAGUAGUGAGCGAUUCUCUGUGUUUUGAGUUAUCUAUUGGAUCAAUGUAUUUUCUGGAUUUAUGAUGUUCAUUUUCAAAGUGAUAUUUGUACUAUGUUCGAAUUUUGAUGCAAGUUUUAACAUGUCAAUGGGAUCAUUAUGGCUUGAU
Molecule: long non-coding RNA, 695 nt
Organism: Triticum dicoccoides
Lineage: Eukaryota; Viridiplantae; Streptophyta; Magnoliopsida; Poales; Poaceae
Exons: 3
Source: RefSeq, a predicted model, not a curated record